CCUACGGGUGGCUGCAGUGGGGAAUAUUGGACAAUGGGGGCAACCCUGAUCCAGCCAUGCCGCGUGUGUGAAGAAGGCCCUCGGGUUGUAAAGCACUUUCAGUGAGGAAGAACGCCUGGUGGUUAAUACCCAUCAGGAAAGACAUCACUCACAGAAGAAGCACCGGCUAACUCCGUGCCAGCAGCCGCGGUAAUACGGAGGGUGCGAGCGUUAAUUGGAAUUACUGGGCGUAAAGCGCGCGUAGGUGGCUUGAUAAGCCGGUUGUGAAAGCCCCGGGCUCAACCUGGGAACGGCAUCCGGAACUGUCAAGCUAGAGUGCAGGAGAGGAAGGUAGAAUUCCCGGUGUAGCGGUGAAAUGCGUAGAGAUCGGGAGGAAUACCAGUGGCGAAGGCGGCCUUCUGGACUGACACUGACACUGAGGUGCGAAAGCGUGGGUAGCAAACAGGAUUAGAUACCCUAGUAGUC
Molecule: ribosomal RNA, 465 nt
Filed under: Vreelandella stevensii
Lineage: Bacteria; Pseudomonadati; Pseudomonadota; Gammaproteobacteria; Oceanospirillales; Halomonadaceae
Description: partial 16S ribosomal RNA
Rfam family: Bacterial small subunit ribosomal RNA
Source: RNAcentral